GACGAACGCUGGCGGCGUGCUUAACACAUGCAAGUCGAACGGAAAGGCCCUGCUUUUGUGGGGUGCUCGAGUGGCGAACGGGUGAGUAACACGUGAGUAACCUGCCCUUGACUUUGGGAUAACUUCAGGAAACUGGGGCUAAUACCGGAUAGGAGCUCCUGCUGCAUGGUGGGGGUUGGAAAGUUUCGGCGGUUGGGGAUGGACUCGCGGCUUAUCAGCUUGUUGGUGGGGUAGUGACUUACCAAGGCUUUGACGGGUAGCCGGCCUGAGAGGGUGACCGGCAACAUUGGGACUGAGAUACGGCCCAGACCCCUACGGGAGGCAGCAGUGGGGAAUAUUGCACAAUGGGCGGAAGCCUGAUGCAGCAACGCCGCGUGCGGGAUGACGGCCUUCGGGUUGUAAACCGCUUUCGCCUGUGACGAAGCGUGAGUGACGGUAAUGGGUAAAGAAGCACCGGCUAACUACGUG
RNAcentral lists this ribosomal RNA (468 nucleotides) under uncultured bacterium. RNAcentral describes it as "partial 16S ribosomal RNA". It matches the Rfam family "Bacterial small subunit ribosomal RNA", at positions 28 to 507 of the family's 1533-position model. The record is from RNAcentral.